RNAcentral lists this ribosomal RNA (253 nucleotides) under uncultured bacterium. RNAcentral's name for it is "partial 16S ribosomal RNA". It matches the Rfam family "Bacterial small subunit ribosomal RNA", at positions 524 to 776 of the family's 1533-position model. The record is from RNAcentral.
UACGUAGGUGGCGAGCGUUGUCCGGAUUUACUGGGCGUAAAGGGCGUGCAGGCGGUUUGUUAAGUGCAGGGUGAAAGCUCCCGGCUCAACUGGGAGAGGUCCUUGCAUACUGGCGAACUCGAGGGAGGCAGAGGAAAGUGGAAUUCCCGGAGUAGUGGUGAUAUGCGUAGAUAUCGGGAGGAACACCUGUGGCGAAGGCGGCUUUCUGGGCCUUACCUGACGCUGAGACGCGAAAGCGUGGGGAGCGAACCGG